This 241-nucleotide ribosomal RNA is filed under the name uncultured Actinomycetales bacterium. RNAcentral describes it as "partial 16S ribosomal RNA". It matches the Rfam family "Bacterial small subunit ribosomal RNA", at positions 89 to 334 of the family's 1533-position model. The record is from RNAcentral. Lineage: Bacteria; Bacillati; Actinomycetota; Actinomycetes; Actinomycetales.
ACUCGAGUGGCGAACGGGUGAGUAACACGUGAGUGAUCUGCCCUGCACUUCGGGAUAAGCUUGGGAAACUGGGUCUAAUACCGGAUAGGAGCCAUCUUUAGUGUGGUGGUUGGAAAGUUUUUCGGUGUAGGAUGAGCUCGCGGCCUAUCAGCUUGUUGGUGGGGUAAUGGCCUACCAAGGCGGCGACGGGUAGCCGGCCUGAGAGGGUGUACGGCCACAUUGGGACUGAGAUACGGCCCAG